CCCCCCGCCGCCACGGCCCCGGCGGACACCUGGCGGGCGCUGCGGACACAGCGCGGGGAAGGACUCGCUGCGUGGGGCGGGCGCCGCGGAGCAGCGCUUGGCGUUCCCGAGCCGCAGCCGAACUUUUUCCAAAGGAGUCGCACAUUUGGGGGCAGGAGGAACCCAGCGGGGAGGGGAGAGCAGAGUUCCUGGAAGGAGAGAGCCGCAGCCCCACAACAUGGCCUCCUCCUCCUCCUCUCCUGCUGGCGCCGGGAGCACCCCUCCUGCGCAGGAUGACUUUGGAUCCUACUAUUCACGAAGCUCUAGAAAGGAUAUAAGGAAACAGGGCAUCUUUACUGUCCCUAUGUCCACAGCGGCCAAGAGACUGAGCAGUUCCUGGCACCCAGAAAGAAGUUCCAAUGACUAUGGAGAUGGCCUGAGAGGAGCUCUGCCUUCAGAGAGGAGUGCAGCCCACAUGCCCCACAGGGAGGGAACCAGAGGAAUAAAUCAUCCUACUCAUUCUCCUUCUCCCUCUGGUCUGCUGCUGGUGCUCUCCAUUGGCCAACUGGAAGGCAGAGGCCCAUGGAUGAUCCAUACACCCUCCCCGGGCCCAGAGCUGUGUGGAGAAGGAUGGAAAAUGCAUUUGCAGGGGCAAGGGAAGAGAUCUGGCUCAGGGGUCACAGUAGGGUUUGAGCAGGAGAAGGAUUUGACAAGUGUAUUGUUUUAUGAGAUGAGCUUGUGAACGGCAAAUAGAAUUAGGUAGGGUAGAAACUGGAAGCAGAGAGAAUCAUUCAGAAUUUGUUUCAGGACCCUUUCAUUAGGAUGGGGACAGUGGGAAUUUAGAGGAAAGUGCUAAAACCUGUAGAAUUUUAAAGGAGGAAAUAAGAGAAUUAACAUUUUUUCUAAUUACAUUCUUAUUAAAGAUAUUAGACAUGUUCUAAUAUAUCUAAUAUUUAAGCAAAUCCAAUAUACAAAAGUACAUUUUUGAAAACAGUAAGUUAAAAAACUUAUUUACAUAAAGGAAAACAAAAAAGAAUCUGUAUCAUGUAAAUGGUUUCACUUUAAAUAUGGAAUUUUCCUGAUUGAAAAAAUGUAGCUGUUUAAAUGUAUUCUCUAAACUCUUAUUAGCAUUCCUAACACUGAAGUGAGCACACAAAUAAAGGAAAAUAGUAACAUUUUAAAUCACCUCUUCUUUUAUAGAUUCCUAAUGAGUGGACCAGGAGACUAGAAACGCAAAACUUAUAUCAAGAAACUAAUUUAUUGAUACCUACUUUUUUUCUUUCAAAACUAUGUUAUCAAGUCUUUCAUAACCACACAUUCUGUAAAACAACAUUAACUUACUCACUAUCAUAGUUUCUACAUUUUAUCUAAAAGGAUAAGACUUGUAUUUUAUGUGUAGAAAAGUUACAUUUAUAGCAGGC
Molecule: long non-coding RNA, 1400 nt
Filed under: Dasypus novemcinctus (nine-banded armadillo)
Lineage: Eukaryota; Metazoa; Chordata; Mammalia; Cingulata; Dasypodidae
Description: lncRNA (ENSDNOG00000052292.1)
Source: RNAcentral